RNAcentral lists this ribosomal RNA (446 nucleotides) under uncultured bacterium. Its description in RNAcentral is "partial 16S ribosomal RNA". It matches the Rfam family "Bacterial small subunit ribosomal RNA", at positions 338 to 795 of the family's 1533-position model. The record is from RNAcentral.
CCUACGGGGGGCAGCAGUCGAGAAUCAUUCACAAUGGGGGAAACCCUGAUGGUGCGACGCCGCGUGGGGGAAUGAAGGUCUUCGGAUUGUAAACCCCUGUUAUGUGGGAGCAAAUUAAAAAGAUAGUACCAUAUGAGGAAGAGACGGCUAACUCUGUGCCAGCAGCUGCGGUAAUACAGAGGUCUCAAGCGUUGUUCGGAGUCACUGGGCGUAAAGCGUGGGUAGGCGGUUUCGUAAGUCGUGUGUGAAAGGUGGGGGCUCAACCCGAGGACGGCACAUGAUACUGCGAGACUAGAGUAAUGGAGAGGGAGCCGGAAUUCUCGGUGUAGCAGUGAAAUGCGUAGAUAUCGAGAAGAACACUCGUGGCGAAGGCAGGUUCCUGGACAUUAACUGACACUGAGGCACGAAGGCCAGGGGAGCGAAAGGGAUUAGAUACCCGUGUAGUC